This 888-nucleotide unclassified non-coding RNA is filed under the name Hevea brasiliensis (rubber tree). The record is from RNAcentral. Lineage: Eukaryota; Viridiplantae; Streptophyta; Magnoliopsida; Malpighiales; Euphorbiaceae.
GAAAAUUCGAGUCCUCCACUCCUCUAAUUCCCCGCUAAAAAAAAUCCAACAAAAAAGGGAAAAUGGCAUGAACCUGGACUUGAGGAGCAUGUUGUGGCUAGAUAUUAGUAGCCACCACCACAGAUUCAAAUGAACCAUGUGCAUGGCUCAUGCACGUUAUACACAUACCUAAUUAAGGGGAGCUGCGCUAGAAGCAAUUGCUGUAGGUCUUAACAGUCAACCUGUUUGAACAAGCAUAAAAUUUCACCAAUUAAAACAGUCCUACCUCUCAUUUCAAUGACAAUCUUUUUACCUUUAUCUUUUUCUUGUUUUCCUUCUCUUUAUGUCAUAUUUAAUAAUUCAUCAAUAAAUACUCCUCACAUCCUGACCAACUGCCUCUUCUUCCUUGUUCCCAGGUCUCCCAUCUGCAACUAUCCUUGUCUAAAAAUGUCGUCUAAGGCAAGUAAGCGAGUGAGCUUCAGCCCUGAUGUCAACGAGAAGCCCAUUUUCUUUCCUAAACAAGGAGGCGGUAUCAGAUUAGCUGCAAACAGGAAGAGGGUUGCCGGAAUCUUCAGCUUUAGGCUGCCCAGAAGCUCCAAAUUUUCACCAGCAAGAAUAAUCAGGCGACUCAGUGCUAAGGUAGCCAGAGUUCUACGUUUAGUGUCUAUGAGAAGGAAGUCUUCGCGCAAGGUCUCUUCAGCCAGUUUGGCAAGAUCAAGAUCUCUUGCAGAUGCAAUAGACUCCCAGCGAGCUGAAGCUAUAGAAGAUUGUAUUGAGUUCUUAAAUUCUUCUUCCUCUAUGCAAAGGUCAAACUCAGUUUCUUCAAAUUCUUGCUAGAAUUUUUGCAAUCGAUGUAUGUAAAUGAAAGAAAACAAGUUUGAGAUUCAUUAUAGAAUUGAUCAUAACAAU